Molecule: ribosomal RNA, 1207 nt
Filed under: uncultured bacterium
Lineage: Bacteria
Description: partial 16S ribosomal RNA
Rfam family: Bacterial small subunit ribosomal RNA
Source: RNAcentral
CACGUACAGAUGAAUCCGCGUCCCAUUAGCCAGUUGGUGGGGUAAUGGCCUACCAAAGCGACGAUGGGUAGCCGGCCUGAGAGGGUGACCGGCCACACUGGAACUGAGAGACGGCCCAAACUCCUACGGGAGGCAGCAGUAGGGAAUUUUCGGCAAUGGGGGAAACCCUGACCGAGCAACGCCGCGUGAAUGACGAAGUACUUCGGUAUGUAAAGUUCUUUUAUCAGGGAAGAAUGGCUAGCGCUAGCGGAAAAGCUAGAUUGACGGUACUUGAUGAAUAAGCCCCGGCUAACUAUGUGCCAGCAGCCGCGGUAAUACAUAGGGGGCAAGCGUUAUCCGGAAUUAUUGGGCGUAAAGGGUGCGUAGGUGGUUAAUUAAGUCUUUGGUAUAAGUGCAGUGCUCAACCCGGAGAGUGCAUCUGAAACUGGCAGACUUGAGUAUUGGAGGGGGAGGUGGAAUUCCUAGUGUAGCGGUGAAAUGCGUAGAUAUUAGGAGGAACACCAGUGGCGAAGGCGACUUCCUGGCUUGUAACUGACACUGAGGCGCGAAAGCGUGGGGAUCAAACAGGAUUAGAUACCCUGGUAGUCCACGCCGUAAACGAUGAGUGCUAGGUGUCGGGGGUAUCGACCCCCUCGGUGCCACAGCUAACGCAAUAAGCACUCCGCCUGGGGAGUACGGUCGCAAGACUGAAACUCAAAGGAAUUGACGGGGGCCCGCACAAGCGGUGGAGUAUGUGGUUUAAUUCGACGCAACGCGAAGAACCUUACCAAGGCUUGACAUGCUGGGAACCCUUAAGAGAUAGACUUUCAAGUUUACUUGCACACGGAGACAGGUGGUGCAUGGUUGUCGUCAGCUCGUGUCGUGAGAUGUUGGGUUAAGUCCCGCAACGAGCGCAACCCCUACAGCCAGUUGCCAGCAUUUAGUUGGGAACUCUGGCAGAACUGCCGUUGACAAAACGGAGGAAGGUGGGGAUGACGUCAAAUCAUCAUGCCCCUUAUGUCUUGGGCUACACACGUACUACAAUGGCCUGAACAGAGGGAAGCGAAACUGCGAAGUUAAGCGAACCCCUUAAAACAGGUCCCAGUUCGGAUUGUGGGCUGCAACUCGCCCACAUGAAGUUGGAAUCGCUAGUAAUUGCAGGUCAGCAUACUGCGGUGAAUACGUUCCCGGGCCUUGUACACACCGCCCGUCACACCAUCCGAGUUGG